GGGUCCGUCGUAUAACGUCCAUUAUCUCCGGCUCCAGCCCGGAGGACGAGGGUUAAACUCCCUCCGGGCCCA
Molecule: transfer RNA, 72 nt
Filed under: Candidatus Pacearchaeota archaeon
Lineage: Archaea; Nanobdellati
Also listed under: 1 other name
Description: tRNA-Trp
Rfam family: tRNA
About the family: Transfer RNA (tRNA) molecules are approximately 80 nucleotides in length. Their secondary structure includes four short double-helical elements and three loops (D, anti-codon, and T loops).
Source: RNAcentral